CCGUUAUUUGUAACUUAACCUUCUGUGUUUAUAAGUAUUGAAUGAUUUGGUAGGUAGGUGUGUUUGUUUUUUAAACAUGAAAACUGUAAGUAUCAUAUACUUUUGGAUAGACAUAUCUGACUUUUACAAAUAUGCAAAUCGUAGAAGGGGUCUGACAUAUUCCCGUACAUGGUAUACACAUUAAUACAAUUAUACCGCGGCUCGUACGUCCUUGGUAAAUUGUGAUUCUCUGUAUAUUGAAUUUGACUUAAAGAUAGCACCCUCACUUAUAAAAGUUUCUUAAACUUAC
This 289-nucleotide long non-coding RNA is filed under the name Mytilus galloprovincialis (Mediterranean mussel). The record is from RNAcentral. Lineage: Eukaryota; Metazoa; Mollusca; Bivalvia; Mytilida; Mytilidae.